GGGAGGUAGUGACAAUAAAUAACAAUACGGGGUUCUUUCGGGUUUCGUAAUUGGAAUGAGUACAAUUUAAAUCUCUUAACGAGGAACAAUUGGAGGGCAAGUCUGGUGCCAGCAGCCGCGGUAAUUCCAGCUCCAAUAGCGUAUAUUAAAGUUGUUGCAGUUAAAAAGCUCGUAGUUGAAUUUCGGGAUCAAUACGUCGGUCGUGCUUUUUUGGUACGCACUGGCGUCAUUGGUUUCUCCUUUCUGACGAACCAUGAUGUCAUUAAUUUGGUGUUAUGGGGAGUUAGGACUGUUACUUUGAAAAAUUAGAGUGUUUAAAGCAGGCACACGCUUGAAUACAUUAGCAUGGAAUAAUGAAAUAGGACGUUCGAUUCUAUUUUGUUGGUUUCUAGGAUCAACGUAAUGAUUAAUAGGGAUAGUUGGG
Molecule: ribosomal RNA, 424 nt
Filed under: uncultured Glomeraceae
Lineage: Eukaryota; Fungi; Glomeromycota; Glomeromycetes; Glomerales; Glomeraceae
Description: SSU rRNA
Rfam family: Eukaryotic small subunit ribosomal RNA
Source: RNAcentral